CCGAGUUAUACAACUCCCAAACCCCUGUGAACUUACCUAUAACGUUGCUUCGGCGGGAAACCGACGGCCCUGUAAAACGGGCCGCCCCCGCCAGAGGACCCCCCAACUCUUGUUAUAUUAUGUUUCUCUGAGUACAACAAGCAAAUAAAUUA
This 152-nucleotide unclassified non-coding RNA is filed under the name uncultured Fusarium. RNAcentral's name for it is "sequence contains ITS1". Lineage: Eukaryota; Fungi; Ascomycota; Sordariomycetes; Hypocreales; Nectriaceae. The record is from RNAcentral.